CCUACGGGAGGCAGCAGUGGGGAAUUUUAGACAAUGGGGGCAACCCUGAUCUAGCCAUGCCGCGUGAGUGAUGAAGGCCUUAGGGUCGUAAAGCUCUUUCGCCUGUGAUGAUAAUGACAGUAGCAGGUAAAGAAACCCCGGCUAACUCCGUGCCAGCAGCCGCGGUAA
RNAcentral lists this ribosomal RNA (168 nucleotides) under uncultured bacterium. RNAcentral describes it as "partial 16S ribosomal RNA". It matches the Rfam family "Bacterial small subunit ribosomal RNA", at positions 338 to 523 of the family's 1533-position model. The record is from RNAcentral.